RNAcentral lists this ribosomal RNA (253 nucleotides) under uncultured bacterium. RNAcentral's name for it is "partial 16S ribosomal RNA". It matches the Rfam family "Bacterial small subunit ribosomal RNA", at positions 524 to 776 of the family's 1533-position model. The record is from RNAcentral.
UACGGGGGGGGCAAGCGUUGUUCGGAUUUACUGGGCGUAAAGGGCUCGUAGGUGGCCAAUUAAGUCGGACGUGAAAUCCCCAGGCUCAACUUGGGAACUGCGUCUGAUACUGGUUGGCUUGAAUUCGGGAGGGGGAUGCAGAAUUCCAGGUGUAGCGGUGAAAUGCGUAGAUAUUGGGAGGAACACCGGUGGCGAAGGCGGCCCCCUGGACCGGUACUGACGCUGAGGCGCGAAAGCGUGGGUAGCAAACGGG